Molecule: ribosomal RNA, 362 nt
Filed under: Mischonyx insulanus
Lineage: Eukaryota; Metazoa; Arthropoda; Arachnida; Opiliones; Gonyleptidae
Description: partial large subunit ribosomal RNA
Rfam family: Bacterial large subunit ribosomal RNA (bases 87-362)
Source: RNAcentral
GCAUAAUAAAUAGUUUUUUAAUUGGAAACUGGAAUGAAGGGUUAAAACUAAAAAGAAAGUUUUAUUUAAUGAAUUUGAAAUUAAAUUAAAAGUAAAAAUGCUUUUAUUAAGCUUUGGGACGAGAAGACCCUAGAAGCUUAAAAUUUAUUUAAAAUUUUUUAUUGGGGUAAUAUUUGAAGACAAAAAUUUUUGAAAAUUUUAAAUUAUAUAAAAGGAAAGUUACUCUAGGGAUAACAGCAUUAUUUAGUUAACAAGUUCUUAUUAAUAACUAAGUUUGUGACCUCGAUGUUGAAUUAAAUUUUAUCUUUGGUGAAGGAGCUUAAGAGGAUAGUCUGUUCGACUAUUAAAAACUUACAUGAUUU